CUCACUGGACUGGUAUUGACGCUGAUGUGCGAAAGCGUGGGGAGCAAACAGGAUUAGAUACCCUGGUAGUCCACGCCGUAAACGAUGAUAACUAGCUGUCAGGGCACAUGGUGUUUUGGUGGCGCAGCUAACGCAUUAAGUUAUCCGCCUGGGGAGUACGGUCGCAAGAUUAAAACUCAAAGGAAUUGACGGA
Molecule: ribosomal RNA, 193 nt
Filed under: uncultured bacterium
Lineage: Bacteria
Description: partial 16S ribosomal RNA
Rfam family: Bacterial small subunit ribosomal RNA
Source: RNAcentral